This 3018-nucleotide long non-coding RNA is filed under the name Salmo salar (Atlantic salmon). Its description in RNAcentral is "lncRNA (ENSSSAG00000113720.1)". The record is from RNAcentral. Lineage: Eukaryota; Metazoa; Chordata; Actinopteri; Salmoniformes; Salmonidae.
AAAGAAAGAGGCUUCAAUAUUUGCAGCCGUAGGUGAUAUCUCUCUAGAAGUUGAUCGUCUUCGGUUAAGGUAAGAUUAUAAUAGAGAAAGCUGCUCCGAGAGCAGCGCUGCUUUUCUUUCCAUCCUGUCAGUUACCUUUAGCGUCUAUUGAUGAAGGUAUCAUCUUCACGGUGACUUUUGUUACGAGCCCAGACGCUCGGUUUUUUUUUCUACAUACUUUCGUAUCGGCGAGAAAUUACUACAAACCUUAUUAGGAUUAGUGUUCCCUCACGGCCAUAUCUCCAUGUUACAACGGGUGUAUGGAAGACAGACGGAAGACCGAGGCUUCUACCUGUGCUAAUUAGCUAUCUAGCAUGCUCCGAACACCUGUGCUAAUUAGCUAUCUAGCAUGCUCCGAACACCUGUGCUAAUUAGCUAUCUAGCAUGCUCCGAACACCUGUGCUAAUUAGCUAUUUAGCAUGCUCCGAACACCUGUGCUAAUUAGCUUUCUAGCAUGCUCCGAACACCUGUGCUAAUUAACUAUCUAGCAUGCUCCGAAGAACCUGUGCUAAUUAACUAUCUAGCAUGCUCCGAACACCUGUGCUAAUUAGCUAUCUAGCAUGCUCCGAACACCUGUGCUAAUUAGCUAUCUAGCAUGCUCCGAACACCUGUGCUAAUUAGCUAUCUAGCAUGCUCCGAACACCUGUGCUAAUUAGCUAUCUAGCAUGCUCUGAACACCUGUGCUAAUUAGUUAUCUAGCAUGCUCCGAACACCUGUGCUAAUUAGUUAUCUAGCAUGCUCUGAACACCUGUGCUAAUUAGUUAUCUAGCAUGCUAUGAACACCUGUGCUAAUUAACUAUCUAGCAUGCUCUGAACACCUGUGCUAAUUAACUAUCUAGCAUGCUCCGAACACCUGUGCUAAUUAGCUAUCUAGCAUACUAUGAACACCUGUGUGUAGUAACCAAGGCCACGAGAAAUGUGUUGUCACUGAAAAAUACUGUCGGCAGCAACUGUGAAAGCUGGUUAAAACAGUUAAGUGUAUAUUUUGUAUUUGUGAAAUUAUUUUGAUGUGAUAUGAAAGUAAAGGACUUUGUUUCUAGAACUGUAUCGCAAUUGAGAAUCGAUUCACAUUUAGUCUCCAUGGCUGCCAGAGCCAGUCUCCAUGGCUGCCAGAGCCCGUCUCCAUGGCUGCCAGAACCCGUCUCCAUGGCUGCCAGAGCCCGUCUCCAUGGCUGCCAGGGUCAGUCUACAUGGCUUCCAGAGCCAGUCUCCCACUGAAAAUAUCAUAAUGUCCUUGGAAUGGUAGGCUUGCCUACACUCCUUCUGAGUACAUUCUUAGGCUAUAUCGACUCAACGACUCACUUGUAACAUCUUCGGCCAUUAUAGGAACGAUGCAUUGUUAAAACACUCGUCAGCCUAAGUUCCAGCAAUAUCGUGAAACUGGACCCUGGUUAUCUUCUAUCCUGUCCUCUCCAUACAGGCACCAACUAACCUGUCCAUACAGGCACCAACACAACUCUGCUCUAUCCACUGUGAGAAGAGAUUACAUCUACAGAGUGCAGACUGCUUCUCCUUUAGAGAAACAUACAAGUCUUUUAGACAUUUGGAGGAUGGAUUGUUUACUUUAGAUCAGUGUUUCCCAACUCCAGUCCUCCAGUACCCCCAACAGCCCAACUCCAGUCCUCCAGUACCCCCAAAAGCCCAACUCCAGUCCUCCAGUACCCCCAAAAGCCCAACUCCAGUCCUCCAGUACACCCAACAGCCCAACUCCAGUCCUUCAGUACACCCAACAGCCCAACUCCAGUCCUCCAGUACACCCAACAGCCCAACUCCAGUCCUCCAGUACCCCCCAACAGUGUUUCUCAACUCCAGUCCUCCAGUACCCCAACAGCCCAACUCCAGGCUGGAGUGCAGACUGGUACCCAGGCUGGAGUGCAGACUGGUACCCUGGCUGGAGUGCAGACUGGUACCCAGGCUAGAGUGCAAACUGGUACCCAGGCUGGAGUGCAGACUGGUACCCUGGCUGGAGUGCAGACUGGUACCCAGGCUAGAGUGCAAACUGGUACCCAGGCUGGAGUGCAGACUGGUACCCAGGCUGGAGUGCAGACUGGUACCCUGGCUGGAGUGCAGACUGGUACUCAGGCUGGAGUGCAGACUGGUACCCAGGCUGGAGUGCAGACUGGUACCCAGGCUGGAGUGCAGACUGGUACCCAGGCUGGAGUAAAACAAUACACACAUCUAUCUUGCUCUGUGUGUCCCAACAUGCUGCAUGACAGUAAAUCCUGUUCAGUUGAACAUUUCUACCAACGGUCAUUAUUUUAUAUGCAUUUAUUUCUAUUACUUUGACAGACUGUGUGCACACACGUGACACACACACACACGUGACACACACACACACGUGACACACACACACGUGACACACACACACACGUGACACACACACACACACGUGACACACACACACACACGUGACACACACACACACGUGACACACACACACGUGACACACACACACACACAUGACACGCACACACACAUGUGACACGCACUCACACAUGUGACAUACACACACACACGUGACACACACACACGUGACACACACACACACACACAUGACACGCACACACACAUGUGACACGCACUCACACAUGUGACAUACACACACACACGUGACAUACACACACGACACACACAGACACACUUGACAUACACACACACACACACACGACAUACACACACACACACACUUGACAUACACACACACACAUCACACACACACGUUACACACACAAAUAUGUGCACAAACUCCUGAUGACAGUUUGAUUUAUGAUUAUGACAGAAUGGAGUGUGAGGAAGUUGUGUGAAACUGCAAAGUUUUAUUUUUCUUGUUUUGUCUCUAAAUCAUUUGCCAAAAAGAAGCCUGGCCCUGAAAGUGGCCAUGGUUUCACACGUGACAUGACAUGUGAAAUCUUUUUGUUGCUGCCAAGAAGAUUACAGAGAAACAUAGCUGUAGUUAAGGGGGAAGACAUGCAGUUUCUA